CGCCAGACUCCUACGGGAGGCAGCAGUGGGGGAUAUUGCACAGUGGGGGAAACCCUGAUGCAGCGACGCCGCGUGAGUGAAGAAGUCUUUCGGUAUGUAAAGCUCUAUCAGCAGGGAAGAAAAUGACGGUACCUGACUAAGAAGCCCCGGCUAACUACGUGCCAGCAGCCGCGGUAAUACGUAGGGGGCAAGCGUUAUCCGGAUUUACUGGGUGUAAAGGGAGCGUAGACGGCAUGGCAAGUCAGAUGUGAAAGCCCGGGGCUCAACCCCGGGACUGCAUUUGAAACUGUCAGGCUGGAGUGCAGGAGAGGUAAGUGGAAUUCCUAGUGUAGCGGUGAAAUGCGUAGAUAUUAGGAGGAACACCAGUGGCGAAGGCGGCUUACUGGACUGUAACUGACGUUGAGGCCCGAAAGCGUGGGGAGCAAACAGGAUUAGAUACCCCCGUA
Molecule: ribosomal RNA, 446 nt
Filed under: uncultured bacterium
Lineage: Bacteria
Description: bacterial SSU rRNA
Rfam family: Bacterial small subunit ribosomal RNA
Source: RNAcentral